ACCGCCUGGGGGGCGGGGAGCGCGCGCCGGCGGCAUGGCAGUGGCCCGCUACCUGCGGCUGUGGCGCUGCUGGCGGCCGGGGCUGCCCGGGGGCCUUGCCCCGCUCGGUCUAGCGCGGCGGCGGCUGUACGCGGCCUGCUCCUCCGCCUCUCCGUGGGCGCUGUGGGGUCCGCGGGGCCCGGCCCCAUCCCCAUCCCCCCCCGCCGGCCUCAGCGUCGGGCCCCGGCGACACCUGCGUGGCCUGGGCGGCGGGGACGGGCUGGAGGGCGGCGGAGCCGAGGACGGCGGGGGCGGCGGGGCCGAUCCCGCCGGGGCCCCCCCGGCCAUGACGGCGCUGACCCCGCUGCUCAUCCCCGAGCGCUUCCCCAACGUGCCGCUCAUCGCCGUGACGCGCAACCCCGUCUUCCCGCGCUUCAUCAAGAUCCUGGAGGUGAAAAAUAAGAAGCUGGUGGAGCUGCUGAGGAGAAAAGUUCGCCUUGCCCAGCCUUAUGCUGGUGUCUUUUUGAAGAAAGAUGACAACAAUGAAUCUGACGUGGUGGAAAACCUGAAUGAAAUCUACCAGACAGGCACUUUUGUCCAGAUCCAUGAAAUGCAGGACCUUGGAGACAAGCUGCGCAUGAUUGUCAUGGGGCACCGAAGAAUUCGUAUAAACAAGCAACUAGAGAUUGAGCCUGAGGAAUCUGAGCCUGAGAACAAACAGAAAGCAAGAAGGAAGCUGAAGCGCUCCAAGAGAGAGGCUGAAGAAGAGGAGGGACCAAAGGACCAAACCGUGGAGCUGGUGCUAGAACCUGUGGCUGCCUCGCCAGAAGAAGUGCUCAUGGUAGAAGUGGAUAAUGUUGUCCACGAAGAUUUUCAGAUCACAGAAGAAGUUAAAGCGCUUACUGCAGAAAUUGUCAAAACAAUCCGGGACAUCAUUGCCUUGAACCCUCUCUACAGAGAAUCGGUGCUUCAGAUGAUGCAGGCAGGGCAACGAGUGGUAGAUAACCCAAUCUAUCUGAGUGACAUGGGUGCAGCGUUAACAGGGGCCGAGUCGCAUGAGCUGCAGGAUAUCCUGGAAGAAACCAAUAUUCCCAAACGGCUUUAUAAGGCCCUCUCUCUCCUGAAGAAAGAGUAUGAGCUGAGCAAACUCCAGCAGCGUCUUGGACGGGAGGUUGAGGAGAAGAUCAAGCAGACUCAUCGCAAGUAUCUUCUUCAAGAGCAACUGAAGAUUAUCAAGAAAGAGCUAGGCUUAGAGAAGGAGGACAAAGAUGCCAUAGAGGAGAAAUUCCGAGAGCGGCUCAAGGAUCUGGUAGUGCCAAAACAUGUCAUGGAAGUGAUUGAUGAAGAGCUGAACAAACUUGGUUUGCUGGACAAUCACUCCUCGGAAUUCAAUGUUACCCGGAACUACUUGGAUUGGCUGACAUCCAUCCCAUGGGGUAAAUGCAGCGAGGAGAACCUGGAUCUGACCAGAGCCCAGGCAGUUCUGGAGGAGGAUCACUAUGGAAUGGAUGACGUCAAGAAGCGAAUUCUGGAAUUCAUAGCAGUCAGCCAGCUGCGAGGAUCAACCCAAGGGAAGAUUCUUUGUUUUUAUGGCCCUCCAGGGGUUGGCAAGACCAGCAUUGCCCGCUCCAUCGCUAGAGCCUUAAACCGAGAGUAUUUCCGCUUCAGUGUUGGAGGAAUGACUGAUGUGGCAGAAAUCAAAGGACACAGGAGGACGUACGUUGGAGCAAUGCCAGGGAAAAUAAUCCAGUGCCUAAAAAAGACCAAGACAGAAAACCCCCUGAUCCUGAUCGAUGAGGUGGAUAAAAUUGGGCGAGGCUAUCAAGGUGACCCAUCCUCAGCCCUUCUAGAGCUGCUGGACCCAGAACAGAACUCUAACUUCUUGGAUCAUUACCUUGAUGUUCCUGUCGAUUUAUCAAAGGUGCUCUUUAUUUGUACCGCCAAUGUGACAGACACCAUCCCAGAGCCGUUGCGGGACAGAAUGGAAAUGAUCAAUGUGUCAGGAUAUGUCGCACAAGAGAAACUUGCAAUUGCAGAGAGGUAUUUGGUCCCUCAAGCACGUGUCCUGAGUGGUUUGGAUGAAACCAAGACCAAGAUCUCAUCAGAUGUGCUGACUGUUCUCAUCAAGCAGUACUGCAGGGAGAGUGGAGUGAGGAACCUGCAGAAGCAGGUGGAGAAGGUAUUAAGGAAAUCUGCCUAUAAGAUUGUCAGUGGAGAAGCAGACACAGUUGAGGUAACCCCUGAAAACUUGCAGGACUUCGUUGGCAAGCCCAUCUUCACUGUGGAUCGGAUGUAUGACCUCACUCCUCCUGGAGUGGUGAUGGGCCUGGCCUGGACAGCUAUGGGAGGUUCCACUCUAUUUAUUGAAACGUCCCUGCGGCGACCCAAAGACAAGGAAAACAAGGAUGGGUCCCUUGAAAUAACAGGCCAACUGGGAGAUGUGAUGAAGGAGAGCGCCAAAAUAGCUUACACAUUUGCUCGAGCUUUCCUGAUGCAGAAGGAACCCACCAAUGACUUUCUGGUGACCUCCCACAUCCACUUGCAUGUGCCCGAGGUUGAUUCGCCUUCCUCCACCAGUUCUGGAGUCCUUGCACUGGUGACAUCCCCACAAUGGACCUGUUUGCAACAAGCGAAAACUGGAAGUGUUGCCUGUUCUGCUCUUGGAGGGGAUGCCUUUCACUGCAGCUAACAAUCGACUGCUGUAUGCCUUCCCUUCUCUUCCAGUCAUUCCCCAGGUCAUCGCUAAGCUCAAGGCAGAUCAAGCCAGACUCAUCCUGAUUACCCUGGCAUGACCAAGACAGUGCCGGUUCUCAGAUCUCCUUGCUGUCAGUCCAGCCUCCCAUGCUGCUUCUCCUCCAUCCUGACGACCUCAGACGGACCACAGCUACAUCUGGUGAUCAGCUCUGUUCACCUUCUGGCAUGGCUGAACAAGGGGGAAGAGUGUUGUUCAGAGGCUCUCCAACAGGUCCUACUUAACAGCAGGAAGUCUUUCACUAGGACGGCCUACUUAGUGAAGUGGAAGAGGAUUUUGGUGUGUUUUGGAACCCGUCCAACAGUGACUUUCAUCCAGGACAUCUUAGAGUACCUGCUGCACCUUCAGAAAUUAGGCUUAGCACUUGGCAGCAAUAUCCACGUUUCAUCCCCCUAUCCAAGGGAAAUCGGUUUUCUCCAACACUAUGAUGAUGAUAUUUCUAAAAGGAUUUCUUCACCUGCAUCCUCUGGUCGGAGAGCCUGUCCCCUUGUGGGGUCUGGACAUGGUUUUAACAGCGCUGAUGAGGCCUCCAUUUGAGCCUCUUGCUUCCUGUCCACUGCCCCUCUUGUCUGAGAAAACUGCAUUCUUGAUAGCCAUCACCAUUGCCAGGAGGCUGGGUGAGUUGCAGGCCCUGAUGGUGUGGCCUCCUUACACGCAGUUCUCCAGGGAUAAGGUAAUGCUUUAGCCACACCCAAAGUGGUCUCCCAGUUUCUUCUGAACAAGGCUGAAUAUUUGCCUGUGUUCUUCCCUAAGCCACUUUCCUCCCCAGAGGAACAGCGCCUCCAUAUGUUAGAUGGUGCCUCUAGCCUUUUAUCUGAACAGAACUGAAUUGUUUCAUGCUUCACCUCACAGACCACAUGAAGGGACAAGUGUUCUCUGCACAGACCAUCUCUAGGGGAAUAACAUCUUGUAUCAGGACUGUGUAUGAGAUAGCAUCGGCAACGUCUCCUCAGCAGAUACGGACCCCUUCGAUGAGAGCACAGGCAAUGGAGCAACCCCCAAGGACGGGCCAAGCGCAGGAUGUACCAUAAUAACGGCCUUACUGUCAUUGGCCAUGAAUCGUCCAGCGAGGCAAAACGUGGCCAUGACUGGAGAGGUGUCAUUAACUGGAAAGAUUCUUCCUGUU
This is an RNA transcript of Chelonia mydas (Green sea turtle), 3857 nucleotides long. It is a transcript of the gene named lon peptidase 1, mitochondrial, with no coding region annotated. The record is from RefSeq and is a predicted model, not a curated record. The transcript is spliced from 18 exons. NCBI's taxonomy places the organism in Eukaryota, Metazoa, Chordata, Testudines, Cheloniidae.